This 73-nucleotide transfer RNA is filed under the name Nematostella vectensis (starlet sea anemone). It matches the Rfam family "tRNA". From Rfam's summary of the family: Transfer RNA (tRNA) molecules are approximately 80 nucleotides in length. The record is from Rfam by way of RNAcentral. Lineage: Eukaryota; Metazoa; Cnidaria; Anthozoa; Actiniaria; Edwardsiidae.
GGCCCUGUGGCCCAAUGGAUAAGUGGCCUUACUACGGAUCAGGAGAUUCCAGGUUCGAGUCCUGGCAGGGUCG